CGUAGGGGCGAGCGUUGUCCGGAAUUAUUGGGCGUAAAGCGCGCGCAGGCGGUUUUUAAGUUCUGAUGUAUAAGCCCAGGGCUUAACUUUGGGAGGCAUUGGAAACUGGGAGACUGGAGUGUAGGAGAGGAAAGUGGAAUUCCACGUGUAGCGGUGAAAAUGCGUAGAGAUGUGGAGGAACACCAGUUGGCGAAAGGCGACUUUCUGGGCCUAUAACUGACGCUGAGGCGCGAAAAGCGUGGGGAGCAAACAGGAUU
RNAcentral lists this ribosomal RNA (257 nucleotides) under uncultured bacterium. RNAcentral's name for it is "partial 16S ribosomal RNA". It matches the Rfam family "Bacterial small subunit ribosomal RNA", at positions 526 to 779 of the family's 1533-position model. The record is from RNAcentral.